CGGCAACGCACCACCCAACGCGCAAAGAGGGAGCGACGGCUAGCGAGCUGGGCGAGCGCGGACCUUCCAAGGAACGGCGUCAGCGAGCCCCCGACGAGGGAGAAGUGGAAGGAGGCAAGAAGAGAGGGACGCUGGCGAGCUAGGAAGCAGGGACGGCCAGCGCAGCGAGAUGGAGCACGACGCUGGAGGAGCAGAGGGAGAAGACGCCGACCAGGGAGAAGCGUGCGGCCAUGGACGAACUGCAGGCCGCGGCAGGGCGGGCACGAGGCCGGCCAGGGAGAGCAAGGGAGGGAGAUGGACUUGGCGAGCUGGAAGCCAAGCGCCGGCGAGCUGGAGGCCGGGAGGGCGCUCGGCCGGCGAGGUUGGCCGGCGGCACGGCACUGGGGACUGGCGUGGGAGGAUGCGCACGCAGGGACUCCACGGCGCGCAGAUGCCAGGGCGUGCGGCUAGGGAAGAAGAUGGAGCAGAGGACGCUGGCUUGGAGGAGCAGGGGGGUGCACGACGGCCAUGGGAAGCUGGGGCGCGCGCUUAAGGAGGGAGAGGAAGGAGCCGAGCACCAUGGGAACCAAGGCGGGGUUGCGGCCGGCGAGCUGGAGAUGGCCGGCGGCGCGAGCAGGGAAGGAGCAGAGGCCGAGCUCGGCGCACGGCAUAGCGAGUUCGAAGCGGUGCCGAGCAGGGGGAGCCGCCAUGGGCGAGAUCCGUGCUUGAGGGGCGCGGCAAACCUGAAGCCGAGCAGGCAGGGGCGGACGCGCCAGGAGCAAGGGAGCAGGUGCCAGGGACGCAACAGCAGGGAGAUGGGCACCGCGGCUGGAGAAGAUAGGAGGAGCGGCUGGGCACUAGAGAGCCGAGCAGGUGAUGUGCUGCACGAGGAAGAAGAAUGCGUAGCCAGAAGAUAAGCCC
This 900-nucleotide unclassified non-coding RNA is filed under the name Zea mays. RNAcentral describes it as "misc RNA Zm00001eb412520". Lineage: Eukaryota; Viridiplantae; Streptophyta; Magnoliopsida; Poales; Poaceae. The record is from RNAcentral.